Non-coding RNA from Pelobates cultripes (western spadefoot toad), 231 nucleotides. The record is from the annotation of a GenBank genome assembly. NCBI's taxonomy places the organism in Eukaryota, Metazoa, Chordata, Amphibia, Anura, Pelobatidae.
GUUUAUAUUGAGGUGAAGUAAAACAAACAAUGGUAACAUAAGGAAGAAAACUAAGGAAGAAUAAUUUAUAUUGAUUAAUAUUAAGUAAUGGUAUACAUUAAGAAUGCCUUGGAUAUAAGAGUUCAGAGAUCCAAGAGGAAUUGAAUUGAAAGAGUAUAGUACACAAUUAUAUUUGACCUAAGUCUAUAAAAGGUAUGGGCUAGGGAGAAUAGGUUUCUGGAUAUGGUGAUG